AGCGAACGCUGGCGGCAGGCUUAACACAUGCAAGUCGAGCGGGCCUUUCGGGGUCAGCGGCGGACGGGUGAGUAACGCGUGGGAACGUGCCCUCUGGUUCGGAAUAACUCAGGGAAACUUGAGCUAAUACCGGAUACGCCCUUUUGGGGAAAGGCUUGCUGCCGGAGGAUCGGCCCGCGUCUGAUUAGCUAGUUGGUGAGGUAACGGCUCACCAAGGCGACGAUCAGUAGCUGGUCUGAGAGGAUGAUCAGCCAUACUGGGACUGAGACACGGCCCAGACUCCUACGGGAGGCAGCAGUGGGGAAUAUUGGACAAUGGGCGCAAGCCUGAUCCAGCCAUGCCGCGUGAGUGAUGAAGGCCUUAGGGUUGUAAAGCUCUUUUAUCCGGGACGAUAAUGACGGUACCGGAGGAAUAAGCCCCGGCUAACUUCGUG
Molecule: ribosomal RNA, 433 nt
Filed under: uncultured bacterium
Lineage: Bacteria
Description: partial 16S ribosomal RNA
Rfam family: Bacterial small subunit ribosomal RNA
Source: RNAcentral